AUAACGGUCCUAAGGUAGCGAAAUUCCUUGUCAGGUAAGUUCUGACCCGCACGAAUGGCGUAAUGAUUUGGGCACUGUCUCAACAGCCCGCCCGGCGAAAUUGUAGUACUGGUGAAGAUGCCAGUUACCCGCAACUAGACGGAAAGACCCCAUGGAGCUUUACUGCAGCUUAAUACUGAAAUUCGGUAGUACAUGUACAGGAUAGGUGGGAGACUGAGAAAUACAGGCGUCAGCUUGUAUGGAGUCGCUGUUGGGAUACCACUCUUGUACUGCUGGGUUUCUAACCUGCGGCCGUGAAUCCGGUCGGGGGACACUGUUAGGCGGGCAGUUUGACUGGGGCGGUCGCCUCCAAAAGAGUAACGGAGGCGCUCAAAGGUUCGUUCAGCACGGACGGAAAUCGUGCAUUGAGUGUAAACGCAUAAACGAGCCUAACUGCGAGACCGACGGGUCGAGCAGUAACGAAAGUUGGAGUUAGUGAUCCGGUGGUAUGUGAGUGGAAAUGCCAUCGCUCAACGGAUAAAAGCUACCCUGGGGAUAACAGGCUGAUCUCCCCCAAGAGUCCACAUCGACGGGGAGGUUUGGCACCUCGAUGUCGGCUCAUCACAUCCUGGGGCUGUAUUCGGUCCCAAGGGUUCGGCUGUUCGCCGAUUAAAGUGGCACGCGAGCUGGGUUCAGAACGUCGUGAGACAGUUCGGUCCCUAUCUGUUGCGGGCGCAGGAGAUUUGAAGGGAGCUGUCCUUAGUACGAGAGGACCGGGAUGGACAGACCUCUGGUGCACCAGUUGUCGUGCCAACGGCACAGCUGGGUAGCUACGUCUGGACGAGAUAAACGCUGAAAGCAUCUAAGUGUGAAACUCCCCCUAAGAUAAGAUCUCCCAUCCUUUAUGGAGUAAGGGACGACAAAGACUAUGUCGUUGAUAGGUCGGAAGUGUAAGUGCAGUAAUGCAUUGAGCUGACCGAUACUAAUAACCCGAGGGCUUGACCUA
Molecule: ribosomal RNA, 985 nt
Filed under: human gut metagenome
Description: bacterial LSU rRNA
Rfam family: Bacterial large subunit ribosomal RNA
Source: RNAcentral